RNAcentral lists this long non-coding RNA (4211 nucleotides) under Nicotiana tabacum (common tobacco). Its description in RNAcentral is "long non-coding RNA (NTAB_LNC012620)". Lineage: Eukaryota; Viridiplantae; Streptophyta; Magnoliopsida; Solanales; Solanaceae. The record is from RNAcentral.
UCCCUCUUUUUUUCCCAAACCCCUCCCUCGGUUUCACCAAAAGAGAAGCUUUAGAGCUUCCAUUUUCUUUAACUUGAAAAAUUAAAACCCUCACUUGAAAAAUUCACAAUACGUUCUCCACAAUAUGAAAGAUUUAAAAGCUUUUUUGACGGUUCAAUUACUUGGGUUCACGCUUGGACCGUCACUGAUGCAAUUUUUUGCUUUCUUCCCCAUUCUAUGAAAUAGAUUCACAACGGUGAGUUUGAUUGUGGGUUCAGAUCUAUGGUAAUUCCUCUUCCCCAUUCUUUAAUUUUGCUUUUCUGUGUUUCUUUCUUCUUGCAUGUGGGUUUUAGGUUUAUUUCCUCUGUUAAUUUGUGUUUUCCCUUAACUGAUUUUUCCUCUAAUUUGUGGCUUUUCUGUUUUACGAUUCUCUACUGAGAGUAAUAGAAAUUUUUGUUGAAUCGGUGGUGUAUUUUGAAGAAGGAUAUAACACUCUCUUUUGAAUUCGAGAUGUAAGUCUUCUUUCUCCUUCUGCAUUAGGUAUUUUAGGUUGUAAAAUUUAGCUUUUUCUGUAUUUUUGUAGGUUAAUAUCUGGGAUUUUGGGUCUAGUUAAUUGAAAUAUUUCCUCUUGCAUGUGUAUUUUAGAACUCUCGAGGACCUUCAGAGAAGACGCAAUUGUCACUAGCUGCUAUUCCUCUUUCUGCUCUACAUGGUGUUUGAAUCAAUCUCAAGGUACAAACAGAUUUUUAGUUUUCUUCGUAGUGUUGAAUAUUAAUUUUUUUUUCUUUCUAGAUUUGUAAUACAAAACGUGCAGACAAUAGAUUAGGUUGCCUGAACGUCAAUUCUGCUUUCUUUCAAAAGGCUAGUGAAUCAAUAACAUAUUUUCUAUUUUAUUUGUCAAGUGAUGAGGAAUAUAUUAGACUGAUAUUAUCAGUUUAUGGGAUUUGGUUAACAAGUAAUUACAUACGUAUUGCAGUUGUUUUAGUUGUGAUCGUUCAUAACAUUAUUAACAUAUAUCACAUUUGCAGUUUCCUACGGUAUGUUUCUUUGGCAAUUUGACUUCAUCUUCAUGCCUUUUCUUCUGUGGAAGAAAUUCUUCUUUCUUCAUUCUCUAUUUUUGUUUUGGUCUUGAGGUAUAUGAGCAGUCAAUUCAAUUGUUAACAUGGAUUUAUUUAUAACCAAUGAUCUUGCACAAUGAAAAUCUGAAUUAGUUAGAUCGUUAACUUCAAAACCAGAUGAUUAAAGAAAAAAUGAACCAUUUUCCGCUAUUGAAUGCUCUUGACAUAUAGAAUAGAUCUGACAAAACUUACUUUGCUAUUACAAAAUUUUGAUAUGUUAACUAAUCGUUUACAAACAAUUGGAUUGGAUUUUGCUAUUUUUCUUCUACCAUUUAUUGUCAUUGUUCAAAUGAGGAAUAUAUUAGAAGCUUCUAAUAUAUCCAUAAUAUUUGUCACUAAUUCUUAUAGAAUUGAAUAUUCUUAUAACAUUGGUCAUUAAGAGUGUGUGUACAAUUAGUUCCUAUGUAUAUGUGUUGUUCGGCAAAGCUAAUAUUUUAUACUUAUCGUUACUCCUAUUUAUAAUUUGACGAUCUGAUUUCCUCCUUUCUUUAAUGCUUGAGUGUGGCUGUACAUUUAAAACCAAGAGAUUUGUUUGAUAUGGGAGAGGUUGAUGAAGGAGAAAUAUACGAGAAUGAAGGAGUUAUAGCUCAUGAAUUCUCAUUUUGAUACUUCUUUUGUUUGUGUUUGAGUUUAUCAAGUUGAUUUUGUCAGAUAUAGUUUAGUGGGCACUCAAUAACUCUAUUUGUCUUAGCAUACAAGCAUUUCCCUUACUCACUGAAGUUCUGAUUUUCUCUUUGUUUUAUCCUUAUAUUAUAUACAUUAUAUAUAUGUACCCUUUCUUUCCUUUGCUUCACCUAUACUCUUGUCUCUCAAAGUUUUAUUUUCAGUUCUGCUUUUGAACCAAUUGACUAAGCACUUUUUUGUAAUACCAAGAACUGAAUUUUUUCCAUUUGUUCUCAUGCUUAUUUGAGAAUAAGAAGUUGUUUUUAUUUGGCUUUAAUGGAUGUUUCUUGUGAUCUUGAAGUGGAUGUCAAUGGUGAAGAAAUCUUUAUUGUUGAUAAGGUAGAUUUUCUUUCUUUUAGCUUUCUGCUUCUUCUCGUUUGUCUUUAUAAAAUAUGAACAAGCUCUGCAUUUCCUCUCCCGUUUCUUUUUUGUUUGUUUGUCCAAAUUAUUACCUUCUUAAUUAUGUUAUUUUGUUUUUUAGUUCUAAUUCUCAAUUCUUAGAUUUUGCUUGGUUUGCAUAGAAUAAUGAUGUGUUUUAGAUGCAUAGAUGUGACUCCUUUUAUGUUUUAGAUAGUUGGUUUCUUCAGCACUGUUAUUUAGUCUAUUAGAUGAUAACUAUAAGUCUUAGCCAAUGCUUUUCUUUUAUUGCUUGCAGGUAUGCCGAAGCCCAAGCGUUACGAGAACUUUCCGAACUCAAUUCAGUCAGUACCUCAAUUCAACGGUAAGAAUAGUUCAUAACUUUCUUAUUUAAUUUUGUAAAGUAUGAUUGAUCAGUCCAAGUAUUACUCUAAAUUGGGAUACCUGAAGAAUGCUUUCUUGUUUCUUACAUUCACAAACUUCGCAAGUCAAUUUAAUCUUUAUGUUAAAUUCACUGUCUAUAUUCACUCGCAGAGCUUUUAGCAUAACUUUAUGUUAACACUGUUAAUUCACCGUCUAUAUUCUAUGAUGUUUAAGAUGUACAGAGAAAAUUCACGAGUUCUCCUUUUCAUGGACUGGGUGAGACAUAGAGAGAAUAUUUGUUUCUUUUGCUUGAAUAUUCAGUACUAUGACCACAAAUUUCUCUUGUUAUUUUUCUCUUUUGCGGAUAAGCUUCUCUUCUGAGCCGAAGACAUUUGGCUAUUUGACUUGCAGGCUAUCUAAGGUUGUUUUCUUUAUGAAACAAAAGUAUGGCAACAUAAAAUUUAAGAAUAAUCACUGUUUUCAACCUCCGGUUGUAGUUUACUUACACUUUUGUCCUAUGUGAUGUUUGACAUACCUUACAACAUUAGAUGUGUCCUAACUCUAUGCCAUAAAUAUUCACUUGACUAAUCGAUAGCUUAGAUAAGUUACUGGUACUUGACUGAAGCUAAGUGAUUAUUAGUUAGGUUAUUGUUGAGGUACUUUUUGUUAAUUAUAUUUUAUUUUGAUUAUUUUUUAGCCAAGUGAUGCGGCUAGCGGAUCCAUUUUACCCAUGGAUAUAAGAUCAUCAGAUGAAAGUAAUCCUAACGACAACCAUUGAAGUUGCUUGCAAAUGUAUUAGAUAAUUAAGCAUCGCACUCGAUUGAAUGGUCAUAGUAGAUCUUUUGUCCAUAAUGGUUGGAGUGGAUGUUCUGUAUAAAGUUAGUUUUAAGACUAAUUAUAAUAUUGAUGUUUUGUGUUUAAUGGUUGGAGUAAUUGUGUUUAAGUAAAUUUUUGAGACUAAUGAUAAUUUACUUUAGUGUAUUUUGUGGUUUAUUAAUAUAUUGAUGUUACAUGAUUCCAGUAAGCAAUUUAUAUAAUUUAUUGAUGCUUCAUUAUAUUAAUAUAAUUGAAAUUGGAACAGUUAUGGAGUAACAUUGCAGGAAAAAAAAUAUUCAAUGAAUAGCGCAGGUUAUAACUGCUGCUAUUUAACCUGUAAUAAUAUUGUGUUAUAAAUUUGUGGGGUUAAAUAAAGAUAUUGCGGGGGUUUAGACCUCCGCUAUUAUUUUAAUAAGUGAUUGCCAAACUACCAAAUUGCGGAGGUUAUACCACCGUCAAAUACCCGCCACUAUAUGAUAACGGCGGUCUGUCAAAAAAACUUCGCAAAUUGGUUGCGGCGAACAUUAUUGCGGGGGUUUUGAAAACCGUCGUAAAAGUAUAUUGCGGAGGUUUCUGACCACCGCAAUAUGUAACUAAAACCUUCGCAAAUUCAGCAUUUUUUUGUAGUGACGAUGAAUAAUAAUUUGGCGGUGUUGGAGAAUUUAUGUAGUAUCAUUGAUGACUUCAAAUGGGUAUUGAAUGAUAAGAGUGGAGCUGAAUGUGCUAGUAAGUGAACCUAUUAGACUAUUUGAGCUUGAGGCUUGUAGUCAACUUGAGAGCCGUAAAUGGAUAUUGAUAAAAAAUUUUGAAUCGUAUUUUGAUUGUAAUUGGGAUUGUAAUUGUAGAUACCAAUUUGUUGGUGGCGUAUGAGCAUUUUACUCAAUGUUACGAUGUCAGAGGAGGAUUAAAAGCUUG